Microcebus murinus (gray mouse lemur) is the source of this 676-nucleotide non-coding RNA. The record is from RefSeq and is a predicted model, not a curated record. NCBI's taxonomy places the organism in Eukaryota, Metazoa, Chordata, Mammalia, Primates, Cheirogaleidae.
CUUUUUAAGCUCUUUUCCUUGACAAUGGGUCUGGUCGUCUUCUGUGGCGUCUAUAUCAUGUUCUGUAAACCUAUAUCUUGUUCUUGCUCUAUAAUCCUAUCUUUUUGUCCUCAAUAAACCUCAUUUUCAUGCUUGCCUUAAAAAAUAAAAAAUAGCUUCUUCCCUUUUGCGGCCAUCGCCAGAGUGGCAGCGGCCAAAAUGAAGUUCAAUCCCUUUGUGACUUCGGACCGAAGCAAGAACUGGAAAAGGCAUUUCAAUGCACCUUCCCAUGUUUGCAGGAAGAUUAUGUCUUCCCCUCUUUCCAGAGAGCUGAGACAGAAAUACAAUGUUCGAUCCAUGCCCAUCCGAAAGGAUGAUUAAGUUCAGGUGGUUCGGGGACACUAUAAGGGUCAGCAAAUGGGCAAAGUAGUCCAGGUUUACAGGAAGAAAUAUGUCAUCUACAUUGAACGGGUGCAGCAGGAAAAGGCCAAUGGCACAACUGUCCACGUGGGCAUUCACCCCAGCAAGGUGGUUAUUACUAGGCUUAAACUGGACAAAGACCGAAAAAAGAUCCUUGAACGGAAAGCCAAAUCUUGCCAAGUAGGAAAGGAAAAGGGCAAGUACAAGGAAGAAACACUUGAGAAGAUGCAAGAAUAAAAUAAUCUUAUGUACAACCUUCAUUAAAAACUGCUAAAAA